GCGGUAAAUAAUGUAAAUUUUGAUGUAAAUAAGUUCGAAGAAAUGAAACUUAAACUUAAAACAUAUGAAGAUAAAAUUUGUAAAGGUGCAAUCCUCCGCUCAAAGGCUCAAUGGGCUAUAGACGGUGAUAAAAGUUCGAAAUAUUUUUUGAAAAAUAUAAACAAAAUAGUAACGCUGUAAAAGAAUUAAAAACGACUGAGGG
This 202-nucleotide long non-coding RNA is filed under the name Mytilus galloprovincialis (Mediterranean mussel). The record is from RNAcentral. Lineage: Eukaryota; Metazoa; Mollusca; Bivalvia; Mytilida; Mytilidae.